RNAcentral lists this ribosomal RNA (498 nucleotides) under uncultured bacterium. RNAcentral describes it as "partial 16S ribosomal RNA". It matches the Rfam family "Bacterial small subunit ribosomal RNA", at positions 28 to 507 of the family's 1533-position model. The record is from RNAcentral.
GACGAACGCUGGCGGCGUGCCUAAUACACGCAAGUCGAACGAGAGCGACCGGUGCUUGCACUGGUCAAUCUAGUGGCGAACGGGUGAGUAACACGUGGGUAACCUGCCCAUCAGAGGGGGAUAACAUCCGGAAACGGAUGCUAAAACCGCAUAGGUCUUCGAGCCGCAUGGUUUGAAGAGGAAAAGAGGCGCAAGCUUCUGCUGAUGGAUGGACCCGCGGUGCAUUAGCUAGUUGGUGAGGUAACGGCUCACCAAGGCCGUGAUGCAUAGCCGACCUGAGAGGGUGAUCGGCCACAUUGGGACUGAGACACGGCCCAAACUCCUACGGGAGGCAGCAGUAGGGAAUCUUCCGCAAUGGACGCAAGUCUGACGGAGCAACGCCGCGUGAGUGAAGAAGGUUUUCGGAUCGUAAAACUCUGUUGUUAGAGAAGAACAAGUGCUAGAGUAACUGUUAGCGCCUUGACGGUAUCUAACCAGAAAGCCACGGCUAACUACGUG